This 368-nucleotide ribosomal RNA is filed under the name Coripera morleyana. Its description in RNAcentral is "partial 12S ribosomal RNA". The record is from RNAcentral. Lineage: Eukaryota; Metazoa; Arthropoda; Insecta; Coleoptera; Tenebrionidae.
GAUACCCUAUUAUUUUAAAUGUAAUUUUAUACUAAAAUUAGUAUUAGCUAUGUUCUUAAAAAUUAAAAAUUUUGGCGGUAUUUUAGUCUUUUCAGAGGAACCUGUUUUUUAAUCGAUAAUCCACGAUAAAUUUGACUUUGAUUAAUAAUUUACAUAUCGUUGUUUAUAAAAAUUUUAAAAGAAUAUUAAUUUUUAAGAUUUUUAAUUAAAAAUUAAUUCAGAUCAAGGUGUAGUUUAUAUUUAAGUUAAAAUGGGUUACAAUAAAUUUAUUUUUGGUUUUAAAGUUGAAAAUUUUAAUUAAAUUGGAUUUGAAAGUAAAUUUUAUAUUUUUAAUAUUUGAUUGAGCUCUAAAAUAUGCACACAUCGCC